Molecule: long non-coding RNA, 1074 nt
Organism: Chinchilla lanigera (long-tailed chinchilla)
Lineage: Eukaryota; Metazoa; Chordata; Mammalia; Rodentia; Chinchillidae
Exons: 3
Source: RefSeq, a predicted model, not a curated record
CUGAAAGCAGGGAAUCUUCUGGAAGGCGGUCUGUGGGCCGGGGAGGCGCGCGGUGGGCUCGGAGCCUUUCCACCCUGGGCCUAGCCACAGCGGGGCGGCUCCUCUCUUCUUCAAAAUGGCAGCUGCCACGCUGAAGUGGGGGUGAAGGUCUCAUGUAGCUCAGGCUGGCCUGGUGUGGAGAGCAGCUACAACUGGAGAUCUAUCACAAAACUGGAGAUCAAUCACGUGUGUGAAGCAAGCCACAAAAACAAGUUGUUCCAUUUCCAAGAAUGCCAGGUGCUCAGAUGGAAAACAUACUGCUGUGGAAGCCAUGCUGAGCCCUGGACAGCUUCAGAAGCCUCAGUGAGCCGGGACUGACAACUUCACUGGCACGGGAGCAGCACUGAGCCCCAGACAGCUUCAGGAAACUACGUGAGCCACACCCUGCACCGUACCCCACCCCCAGGUCGGGGAGGCCACACUGAGUCCCACACAGCUUUGGAAGCCUUGAUGAGCUGCCCCCUCACCCUCCCACUGUUGCAUGAACGACACUGAGCCCCAGAGAGAUUGGAGUCCUUGGUGAGCCACACCCUGCUCCCCCAACUGUUGUGGGAGCAACGCUGAACUCCAGACAUCUUCUGAGGCCUUGGUUACCUGUGCCCCACAUCUCCACCAUCAGAAGAACUCCUCUGAGUUCCAGUGAACUCCGGGAGCCUUGGUGAGGCAUCCCUUGAACCCCCAUUGUGACAGUGACAUUGAGCCCUGGGGAACUUUGAGAGCCUCAGUGAGCUGCACCCUGCCCCCUCACCAUCACAGGAGCACUGCUGAGCCUCAGACAGCUUUGAGAGCUGCAGUGAACCUCCUCCCAACACUCCACCAUUGCAGGAGUGACACUGAGCCCUAGAGAACUUCAGGAGCUUUAAAAAUGUCAAAACGAAGGAGCAAAAUGCAAUCUCAGACCUCCAGCCCACCCAGAAUAAGUCCAGGAAACAUUGACACAGAAGAGCAGGGAAGUCAUAUAUCUGAAAUUUCAGAAAUGAUAGCAACUGAAGUAAAGAAACAACUUCAUCAGGCCAUAGAAGAAAUCAGACCAGA